This is a non-coding RNA of Schistosoma haematobium, 45 nucleotides long. The record is from Rfam. Lineage: Eukaryota; Metazoa; Platyhelminthes; Trematoda; Strigeidida; Schistosomatidae.
AUCCAAGUGAAGAGUCUCAAAUAGGACGAAAUGUGCGUUUUGAAU